AGUGAACGCUGGCGGUAGGCCUAACACAUGCAAGUCGAACGGCAGCACAGUAAGAGCUUGCUCUUACGGGUGGCGAGUGGCGGACGGGUGAGGAAUACAUCGGAAUCUACUUUUUCGUGGGGGAUAACGUGGGGAAACUUACGCUAAUACCGCAUACGACCUACGGGUGAAAGCAGGGGAUCUUCGGACCUUGCGCGAUUGAAUGAGCCGAUGUCGGAUUAGCUAGUUGGCGGGGUAAAGGCCCACCAAGGCGACGAUCCGUAGCUGGUCUGAGAGGAUGAUCAGCCACACUGGAACUGAGACACGGUCCAGACUCCUACGGGAGGCAGCAGUGGGGAAUAUUGGACAAUGGGCGCAAGCCUGAUCCAGCCAUACCGCGUGGGUGAAGAAGGCCUUCGGGUUGUAAAGCCCUUUUGUUGGGAAAGAAAAGCAGCGGGUUAAUACCCCGCUGUUCUGACGGUACCCAAAGAAUAAGCACCGGCUAACUUCGUG
This 492-nucleotide ribosomal RNA is filed under the name uncultured bacterium. RNAcentral describes it as "partial 16S ribosomal RNA". It matches the Rfam family "Bacterial small subunit ribosomal RNA", at positions 29 to 507 of the family's 1533-position model. The record is from RNAcentral.